Molecule: ribosomal RNA, 410 nt
Filed under: uncultured microorganism
Description: bacterial SSU rRNA
Rfam family: Bacterial small subunit ribosomal RNA
Source: RNAcentral
CAGCCGCCGCGGUAAUUCGUAGGGUGCGAGCGUUACUCGGAUUUACUGGGCGUAAAGCGUGCGCAGGCGGCCCGUUAAGACAGGUGUGAAAUCCCUGGGCUCAACCUAGGAAUUGCGCUUGUGACUGGCGGGCUCGAGUACGGUAGAGGGGGGUGGAAUUCCUGGUGUAGCAGUGAAAUGCGUAGAGAUCAGGAGGAACACCGAUGGCGAAGGCAGCCCCCUGGGCCUGUACUGACGCUCAUGCACGAAAGCGUGGGGAGCAAACAGGAUUAGAUACCCUGGUAGUCCACGCCCUAAACGAUGGGUACUAGCCGUUUGGUGCGCGAUAGCGCUGAGUGGCGAAGCUAACGCGUGAAGUACCCCGCCUGGGGAGUACGGCCGCAAGGUUGAAACUUAAAGGAAUUGGCGGG